RNAcentral lists this ribosomal RNA (408 nucleotides) under uncultured bacterium. RNAcentral describes it as "bacterial SSU rRNA". It matches the Rfam family "Bacterial small subunit ribosomal RNA", at positions 509 to 916 of the family's 1533-position model. The record is from RNAcentral.
CAGCAGCCGCGGUAAUACGAGGGGGGCAAGUGUUGUUCGGAAUCUCUGGGCGUAAAGGGAGCGUAGGCGGAUGUUUAAGUCGGGAGUUUAAAACCGGGGCCCAACCCCGGAGCGGCUCCCGAAACUGGGCAUCUUGAAUAGGUCAGAGGCUGGUGGAAUUGGAGGUGUAGCGGUGGAAUGCGUAGAGAUCUCCAAGAACACCUAUUGCGAAGGCAGCCAGCUGGGACCAUAUUGACGCUGAGGCUCGAAAGCAUGGGGAGCAAACAGGAUUAGAUACCCUGGUAGUCCAUGCCGUAAACGAUGAACACUAGGUUUUGGGCUCGUCAACGGUCCAGAGCCGCAGCUAACGCGUUAAGUGUUCCGCCUGGGGAAUACGGUCGCAAGACUGAAACUCAAAGGAAUUGACGG